RNAcentral lists this ribosomal RNA (407 nucleotides) under uncultured bacterium. RNAcentral describes it as "partial 16S ribosomal RNA". It matches the Rfam family "Bacterial small subunit ribosomal RNA", at positions 30 to 526 of the family's 1533-position model. The record is from RNAcentral.
AUUGAACGCUGGCGGCAGGCCUAACACAUGCAAGUCGAGCGGAGCGGCGGACGGGUGAGUAAUGCCUAGGAAUCUGCCCGUUAGUGGUGGAUAACGUCCGGAACCGGGCGCUAAUACCGCAUCCUAUCAGAUUUGCCUCGGUCGGAUUCGCUAGUGGUUGGGGUAAAGGCCUACCAAGGCCACGAUCCGUAACUGGUCUGAGAGGAAGAUCAGUCACACUGGAACUGAGACACGGUCCAGACUCCUACGGGAGGCAGCAGUGGGGAAUAUUGGACAAUGGGCGAAAGCCUGAUCCAGCCAUGCCGCGUGUAUGAAGAAGGUCUUCGGAUUGUAAAGCACUUUAAGUUGGGAGGCGUUACCAACAGAAUAAGCACCGGCUAACUUCGUGCCAGCAGCCGCGGUAAUUC